GUGAGGAAUUUUCCGCAAUGGGCGAAAGCCUGACGGAGCAAUGCCGCGUGAAGGAUGAAGGCCUAUGGGUUGUAAACUUCUUUUCUUAGAGAAGAAUAUUGACGGUAUCUGAGGAAUAAGCAUCGGCUAACUCUGUGCCAGCAGCCGCGGUAAGACGGAGGAUGCAAGCGUUAUCCGGAAUGAUUGGGCGUAAAGCGUCUGUAGGUGGCUUCAAAAGUCUCCUGUCAAAGAUCAGGGCUUAACCCUGGGCCGGCAGGAGAAACUCUGAGGCUAGAGUUUGGUAGGGGCAGAGGGAAUUCCCGGUGGAGCGGUGAAAUGCGUAGAGAUCGGGAGGAACACCAAAGGCGAAAGCACUCUGCUGGGCCACAACUGACACUGAGAGACGAAAGCGAGGGGAGCAAAAGGGAUUAGAUACCCGGGUAGUCC
Molecule: ribosomal RNA, 426 nt
Filed under: uncultured bacterium
Lineage: Bacteria
Description: partial 16S ribosomal RNA
Rfam family: Bacterial small subunit ribosomal RNA
Source: RNAcentral